UUCCACCUGGCACACGCUGUGCUGACCAAACUCAAGGCAUUCAAGGUAUACAAACCCAACAUAGGAGAGAUCCAAAGGAAUUGGAUCUGGACUCAGCAGGGAAUUGGUGGAGGAGUCUCUCAAGGCUACCCAGGGAGGGAAGGUUUUGUGGGGGGAAAGAAAGAGUUUUCCAGAUGACUCAGACAUCUGGAUGGUGGCAGCAAAACCAGAUCUAAACUGGUAAUUAAGCGUAGAAGUGUUCAUGCAGGUCCCCACAUCUGUACCCUAAAGUUCAGAGUAGGGGUGAAAUGGGGGAGCAUGUGAGAAGUAGAAGGAAGGAGGAGUGAUUUUAAACCUGCUCGGAGAUCCUGGUGGGGGGAGGGGUGGAGUCUAGACCCCCUUGGAGAUCCUGAGGAGUUGACAGAACAAUAGCAUUCCCUGUGUGGGGACUAUGGGCCCCAGCCCUUCUCUAACACUGGCCGUGGGCAGAUCUCAAAGUGAUCUACAAAGGCCAGUGUCCUUAUCCCCUCUGUACAGAUGGGGAAAUCGAGGCACCGCCUGGGGAAGUGUGUGCCCAGCACAAUCUCUCUGUUUAUAAACAGGGCAGUUCGGUCACAGAACUAAGCUUUGCACACAGAGCCUCUUCCACCCCUGGACACUCCUGUCUGUGUGUGCUCCUACACCCAUCUCCAUGGUAUCGGAACCUCACUAAUGAAUUCAGCCUCCCAGGGGAGGCAGGGUCGCCUGUGUUACAGAUGGGAAACUCAGGCAUGCAGGGAGUCUGUCAGAGCAGGAACUAGAACCCAGAUCUCCUAAGCCUUAGCCACAGCUCCUGCCAUCCCCGUCCCAUUCCCAGUAAAGGGGAGCUGCAAAUCCACCCUGCCCUGGAUUCUCACACGGGAUACCCAGUGGUUCUUGUCCCCCUAGGAGAAGAUGUAAAAUCCAGGGCAUGCCCAGAUCUCUCCGUCCUGUUGCUUCUGCUCUUGCUUCCAGCCUUUGCCAAGCUGCUGGGAGACUGUGCACCUGUGACCAAUUGGGAAUGUUUGUAAUAUCUUUUAUGAAGCUGAUGCGUGCCUCAGUUUCCUCUAUAUGUUGCAUGGCUUCUCAGGCAGGGGGCUGGGGUGGAAGGGCUGUCAAGAAAGGGAAUUAAACCCAGGUCAGCCUGGGGGCCAGAAAGACCGUGCCGACUCCAACGGCUCCUGGCUGGAUGCUCCCAGCAGGGAAUCGGAGCAGGGCCCCCAGCUCGAGAAACACAGAAUUGGGAAGGUUUGAGCUGGAGGAUAAAGUGAGGGAACCUGGGAGCUCUCGCCUGAGAACUGACCAAAGUCAGACCGAGGCCUGGUCUACACAAGGCAAUUGGGUCAGUGUAACUGCGUCACUCGGGGGCAUGAGAAAGGCGGCCUCACAAACGAUGCAGCUGCAGUGGUUUACAUGUAGACACAGUGGUGAGCUGGCGCCGGUUUGCGGGAUCCGGUUCUAAAAGGGCUUCUAAAUUUAAUAACUGGUAAGUUUAAGUGACCCAGGAGCGUAGCUGGGGGAGAGCAGGGGGAGCAGCCGCUCCCUGUCAUCACAUUAUCCAAAAGUGGCGCCUUAGGCGCUGACCCCGUGAGUGCUCCAGCUCCCCACCCCAGCCCCAGCUCACCUCCACUCUGCCCUACUUCUUCCCCCCUCUACGCCCGCUCCUCAUGAAUCAGCUGUUCACGCGGGAAGCCUGGGAGGGCUGAGAAACAAGCAACAACUUGGUGCUCAGGCCCAGGGAGGCGGAGAUGCAGCGUAGGUGAGCUGGGGCAGGGGGGUCGCCCGCGCCGCAGCAGGUAACCGGGGGGGGGGCACACAAGGGAACCACUCCCUGCCCCAGCUCACCUCCACACCGCCUUCGUCGCCCUGCGAGCUCGACCUGACCCGGUGGUCCAGUCGAACGGCAUGGCUGUAGCGCCGCCAGCCACCUCCAGGCAGCGCAGGACCAAAGGGGACUCAGAGGACAAGGAGGAGGAGGAGGAGGAGGAGAAAUGGGUGGACGUGGCUACAGAGGAG
Gopherus flavomarginatus (Mexican gopher tortoise) is the source of this 2013-nucleotide long non-coding RNA. RefSeq lists it as uncharacterized. Lineage: Eukaryota; Metazoa; Chordata; Testudines; Testudinidae. The transcript is spliced from 3 exons. The record is from RefSeq and is a predicted model, not a curated record.